RNAcentral lists this ribosomal RNA (491 nucleotides) under uncultured bacterium. RNAcentral's name for it is "partial 16S ribosomal RNA". It matches the Rfam family "Bacterial small subunit ribosomal RNA", at positions 29 to 506 of the family's 1533-position model. The record is from RNAcentral.
AGUGAACGCUGGCGGUAGGCCUAACACAUGCAAGUCGAACGGCAGCACAGUAAGAGCUUGCUCUUACGGGUGGCGAGUGGCGGACGGGUGAGGAAUACAUCGGAAUCUACUUUUUCGUGGGGGAUAACGUAGGGAAACUUACGCUAAUACCGCAUACGACCUACGGGUGAAAGCAGGGGAUCUUCGGACCUUGCGCGAUUGAAUGAGCCGAUGUCGGAUUAGCUAGUUGGCGGGGUAAAGGCCCACCAAGGCGACGAUCCGUAGCUGGUCUGAGAGGAUGAUCAGCCACCCUGGAACUGAGACACGGUCCAGACUCCUACGGGAGGCAGCAGUGGGGAAUAUUGGACAAUGGGCGCAAGCCUGAUCCAGCCAUACCGCGUGGGUGAAGAAGGCCUUCGGGUUGUAAAGCCCUUUUGUUGGGAAAGAAAAGCAGCAGGUUAAUACCCCGCUGUUCUGACGGUACCCAAAGAAUAAGCACCGGCUAACUUCGU